CCAGAAAGCACACUGGUGCUCCUGGUGGACCAGUCCUCUUCUUUAACAGAAGAAAACAGCCAAGAGGUAAAGCAAACGACCCAAGGCUACACAGCCAGCAAGAAUAUGGAGGGCGCAGAAAUGGGAGCUAAAUCGCUGACUGUGGUGAAAGAUAUUUAUUAGUCUCUUUCUAUACUUGCCUUUUCUCAAAAAAAUAAAAAUAAAAGGGGUUUGCGUUGGUAUUCUGUCUAAGCUCCACCCCCACAGCUACCAGGCAACAGCCAGGUAUGCUCCACCCCACGGUUGCCUGGCAACAGCCAGCUGUGCCUGACUAUAAAGGGGGCUACUUGCCUCCUCCUCUCCCUCUUAUUUCUCUCUUGCUCUCUCUUGUUCCUCCUCUUCUCGUGCCCCUCUUUGUCCCUGUCCCUUCUUUUCCCAUCUCCCCCUUUCCUCCCACGUGCCCAUGGCCAGCCUUUCCUUCUUCUACUACUCUUCUUCUCUCACUAAACCUUUCCACGUGGAACCAUGUUGGCUUGGUGUACCUUGUCUGGGCGCUGGCUGAGAUUUUAAAUACCAACAAUAUGCAGGCUCAGGUCAGCAGGUGUAGAAGUUGUGACUCCAAAAGGAGACACUCAAGAAUCUGAAACAUGUGAUAUCAUCAACAAAGACACCUUCAGCUCAGAGUUCCCAGAAAACACGCCUUGGAAUACGCAAGCCAUCGCAAGUUCGUAUGUUUGUGAUGAACAACUACUGGAAAGGUCCUCCCCUCAAAAAGUUUUGUAAAUCACACAUUCAGCAAGAUCCAACCAAUUUACAAGCUCAACACACACCUUCAACCAUCAGAAGGGCAACUCAGCAUCACCGUGUCACAGUGGACUCCGAGGGACCCUACACCUUAUGAAUGGGCAUUGUCCUCAAGAAGGUGAUGGAAAAUACCAGUGUACUUCAAGUAAUUUCAUACCCAGGAGGCUGCUCUGGCGAGAUGGUUUGGAGCAGUGGAUCCCAGCCUUCCCUAAGGCUGUGACCCUUUAAGGCCUCAUGUUGUGGUGAGCCCUGUAAAAGGAUCAUUCAACUCCCCAGGGUGAGAAUGGCCAAUUCAGAGCCUUUCAUCUUUAACCUCCAGCUCCUUAGAUUGUUCAUGUUUUAAGCCUGAUCAAAAGCAGCCUUUAUGUUUUCCUCCACAUCCCUGGUUAAAUUUUUCUGUUUAAGUCCAAGAGCAAAAAACUCUGCCAUACCUGGAGAGAUCCCCUCCUGGGGUGAUAAACACUUGACUUACGACUUUGUGGGCCAUCCAGAUGCUGAGACAUCAUGCGUCCCAUGGAUGUCGCAUGCACCCACGUCUUCUUCAGAAUGUUAAGCUUCAACCCGAACAACACAAUAAUAAAGACUGUCAGGAGUUCCUCAGUACAGUUAAGACACAUCUUUGGAAAGGAGAAAAAGAAGAACUGCACAGAGAUGUCACUGAUUAAGAAAGAAAAAAAGGUACAGGAAGAACCAGGCGGAGCGACAACAGAAACUGAAGAAGUCACAGGCUUCAGUGGUGGUUUGCACCACCAUAUAUCAUAUGUGAGUCAGGAGAAUGCAGGCAUCUCAUGCCCUAGGAAUUUCCCAUAUUUCUAGGAAAAUACAUCUUCUCCCUCUGCUGGGAACGUGGGGUUCAUCCAGUAGGAAGUGUAAAAGGAGCUCACUGUAAAGCAUAUGGUACAAAGCUACAGGUGGAGAUGAAGAGAUGGCUCAGUGGUCAGAGCGAGUUCAGUCUCCAGCACCUGCUUGGGGCUCACAACUGUCCACUACUCCAGCCCAGAAGAUCCAAUACCCUCCUCUGGCUCCAGCAGGUACUCAGUGCACUCAUAUGGUGCACAUAUAUGCGUUCAGACAUAACACAUAAAAUAAAUUUUAUUUAAAGAAAAA
This is a long non-coding RNA of Rattus norvegicus (Norway rat), 1890 nucleotides long. RefSeq lists it as uncharacterized. NCBI's taxonomy places the organism in Eukaryota, Metazoa, Chordata, Mammalia, Rodentia, Muridae. The record is from RefSeq and is a predicted model, not a curated record.